This 322-nucleotide small nuclear RNA is filed under the name Erinaceus europaeus (western European hedgehog). RNAcentral describes it as "7SK RNA". It matches the Rfam family "7SK RNA". Rfam says of the family: 7SK was discovered as an abundant small nuclear RNA in the mid-70s but a possible function has only recently been suggested. Two independent studies have found that 7SK RNA binds the CDK9/cyclin T complex (known as elongation factor P-TEFb). Lineage: Eukaryota; Metazoa; Chordata; Mammalia; Eulipotyphla; Erinaceidae. The record is from Rfam by way of RNAcentral.
AGAUGUGAGGGCGAUCUGGCUGUGCCAUCUGUCGCACCUUUAUCACCAGGGUUGAUUCCACUGAUCUGGCUGGCUAGGCAGGUGCCCCUUUCCAACCUCACCACUCCAUGUGCGUCCUUCCUGAAGCUGUGCACUCUGUGCAAGAAGAGACUGACCUUGCCCAAAUAGAGACCUACUGGUCUUCCCUUGAGGGUAUAGGAAUAACUGCGCGCCCCUGCUAGAACCUCCAAACAAGCUCUCAAGGUUCAUAUAUUAGGAAUAUAAAGAUUAGGACUCCCAGUAUUUGUAUAUGCUCUACGUUAUGUUUUACUGAGUUUACUAU